Long non-coding RNA from Tribolium madens (black flour beetle), 1706 nucleotides. RefSeq lists it as uncharacterized. Lineage: Eukaryota; Metazoa; Arthropoda; Insecta; Coleoptera; Tenebrionidae. The record is from RefSeq and is a predicted model, not a curated record. The transcript is spliced from 3 exons.
AAGUGACUAAAUUUCUAUUUAAUUUAUGUUUAAAAAAUACCUUAACCAAGAGUGCGUUGAAUUUCAAUCAUUCAAUCUGACAGUUCGCGUCAAUAUGGUUCACACUCUUUAAGAAAAUCAAACGAAAACCUCGGUAAUACGGUGAUAAACGUUGUGUGUGAUUUGAAAAAGGCAAAAGGAUGACGUAAUUGGUAUUUGUGCAAAGAUCGGUGUUGGUUUUUUGUAAAGUGCGAGUUGGAGCGAAAGCGCCAAAAGUGUAAAAAGUUAUAACGACGAACGGUCAUAGGAACGAAUGGUCAUUGGUCCGAAUGCUCGCAGUGUGGGCCGCCGAACUGCCGUUGUCUCUGUAAAAUACCGCUUCGAAAGAUUUUUAUGCACAUUGAUGAUUCGUGAACUUUGAUUUGAGGUAUAAUAAUAUCCCUAUCUAACAUUGCCUGCUUAAAAUGGAAGAUUUAAGACUCAAGUCCAUACAAAGGAAGUUUGACGAAAAAAUCUGUAUUAGGAUUGAGGUGACGGAAAUAAUGCAUGAAAAGUACGGUGAAAACUAUGCAAAACCAGUGUCGAACAUUUGCGGGUCAGGUAUUGUACUUGGGGGCGAAGUAAAUGAAAGMAAUGUGUAAUUUGAGUUGAGAACUGUCAGUCUGACGUUUUUUUCUGUCAUCGAAAUUUGUCGUCUACUAAAAAGCAACAAAAGGACCGAAAGAACCGGUUAGAAUUGGUCGUGAUUUGUUUAAAAGUGAUCAAGUUGAAUGUGUUGUGUCUAUUUUUUCCAUUUUGGUGAGUGCCGGUGAAAUGUUUAAUAAAUUGUAUGGGUCCAAGUGCGGCCAGGACGGGGUAGCAGUGGUCUGAGACGGCGAUAUAAUUUUCGAUAAAAUGCACACUAUCCGAUCUAAAAUAUGUAUGUGGUGGUUUGUGAAAUAUUGUUCAAGACUCAAAGGCCCCCAUAUAAACAAAAUUUUGCCAAAAAAUGUGUAAUUUGAGGUAACCUGUCACGUGAGAAAAUUUUCUUUGAAAAAAUCAAGUGGCGUUUGUUUUUGACAUUUCUGGGCGUCAGUCACGAUGGGGACUAGCAGCGGCCUGAAACGGCACCGGCGAUACAAUUUUCGAUAAAAUGCACAUUAUCCGAUCUAAAUUAGGUAGGUGGUGGUUUGUGAAAUACUGUUCAAGACUCAAAAGCCUCCAUAUAAACGAAAUUUUGCCAAUUUGAAGAAAUUUGAAGUUACCUGUCAGGUGAGAAACGAGAGCCGCGGAUUUUGGGCCAACGAAAGGGACCUACCUAAAAUAGAAAUAAUACUUAUCUGAUAACAUAAAAGAGCAAGAUGAAUGUCUAAUUUGAGGUUAUGAGUUAUGACGCAUAGACACAGAUUACUUGCAGAUUGGACACUCUUCCAAACCACAGAUUAUCUAUUUUACAACAGAUACGUCACUCUUCUGAAUUAAAAUAAAUUCGGCGUCGCCGUGAUCUCGGUGGUCGACUGUGAUUGGCUAACCCAAACUUAUGCCGUAUUUAUGAAAGAUUUGGAUUAGCUUAUUUGGUGCGAUUGUUGGUACUAAUGCAUAUGUUGCCAACCGAAUCCCCUAAACUUUUACUUCGUGCUUAGUAUAAUAGUAAAAUGUGUAACACAACCUUAAAAUUGUUUAUUAUAAGAUUAUAAAAUGUGUUCAUAAGUGUUUAAUUACACUAUUAAAAAAUAAAUUAAACGAAA